RNAcentral lists this long non-coding RNA (1452 nucleotides) under Ursus maritimus (polar bear). RNAcentral's name for it is "lncRNA (ENSUMAG00000007404.1)". Lineage: Eukaryota; Metazoa; Chordata; Mammalia; Carnivora; Ursidae. The record is from RNAcentral.
GCCAGACGGGUGGAGGCCGGGGGAGGAAGGUGGGAGGCCUGCACGUCCUGGGCAGUGGUGGCAGCAACCUCCCGAGCCCAGGGCCUGGGACAGGGCUCGGGCUGACGUGCCCCCGGGGGCCGAGCGGCCGGGCCUGGCCUGGCCUCCAGGGCUCCAGCGCCAGGCUCAGGAAGUGGGAGUGGAGCAAGCCGGCCUUCGGGGCGGGGACAGGGAGCUCUGGGAGCAGAGGCAGCUGUCGCAAUCGGGGAAGAGGAACAGGCUUGGCUGCCCCGAUGCAGGGCGGGAGGGGGCGGCCGGGAAAGCACGUGAGGGCAGCCGGGCCGGAACCGGGCCUCCUCCCUUCUUCGGAAGCCUGGCCAGGAGGGGAGGACGGCAGGGGCAGGCUAGGCUCAGAUCUGUACUCUGCGGGCGUGUUUAUACGGAUGGUCCAAGGCUGCCCGGAAAGGGAAGACAUUCAGCGCAGCAGGCACUGCUCAGGGCUGCUGCUCUUUCCGGGUCAAGGGAAUUGGGGGCUGGGACUGGACUCACCACUGAGCUCUUCAGUGCCUGAAGAACAUUUCCUGCCCUUCAAAAGGUUCCUGCUUCACAGAGUGGGUCAGCAGUCCUGCACAGUGCGGCCGCCAAGACGAAUAAGCCUAGGGCCUGCUCUCAGAGAACUCAUAGUGCGAUCUGUGCACACACACGCACACACGCGCAUGCCGGGAUAAUAAUAGUAUCCAGUGGCAUCAAGGGAAGCCAUGGGACAAGGUUGGGAAUCCUGGCUGACAGCAGCUCUCACUUGAAGGGGCCACAAGAGACCUCCUGCCCCAAGAGGAAGCCACCUGCCCCCUGAGUUUGGAGUACCCCGCUUCCCUCUCAUUUGCCUGGUAGACUCCUCCGCGUUCCUCAAGACGCCGCUGAGAUGUUACCUUCUCCAGGACGUCUUCCUGAGUCUCCUCAGGGUGAGUGCCUCUCCCUGCCACCCUGGGACUCCCUCAGCUCUUAGUUCUUAUCUCUGCCAGGAGGGAGUCCUUAUCUUAUGUUGAAUGCCUGUCUUCUUUCCCUGCCCCCAUCAGAGCUCACGCGGGGCCUGUGUCUGCACGUCCAGGGAGACAGGGGAAGCCAGUGAACAUACUCUGGGCUGCCUCCACUGGGAGUCCACCGUGGAGACCGCCUGCCGUCAGGCUCAGGGCCUGGGCUGUGUGGUUAUGUCCCCUGUGCCUCCUUACGCUAUCUCUCUGGGCCCUCUCCCGGCCCCUUCCCUCUCUGUGUGCUCACCGCUUACAUUUCACUCUUUAUCUUCUUGCUGGAUUAAGUCUGGAGCAGAGAUUUUGGAGGAAAAACACAACCUGGACCAGUGAGCUUUUCCUUCCUUCCAGGGCUGGUGUAGACUUGGGUCGUGCCCACCCGCUUCCUCCCUGACACCCAGUGCUGCCCACAUCCCUCCCUGUCCCCUCAGUGCCUGCAUCUCUA